RNAcentral lists this ribosomal RNA (429 nucleotides) under Gemmatimonadota bacterium. Its description in RNAcentral is "Gemmatimonadetes bacterium partial 16S ribosomal RNA". It matches the Rfam family "Bacterial small subunit ribosomal RNA", at positions 355 to 776 of the family's 1533-position model. Lineage: Bacteria; Pseudomonadati; Gemmatimonadota. The record is from RNAcentral.
UAGGGAAUCUUCGGCAAUGGACGAAAGUCUGACCGAGCAACGCCGCGUGAGUGAAGAAGGUUUUCGGAUCGUAAAACUCUGUUGUUAGAGAAGAACAAGGACGUUAGUAACUGAACGUCCCCUGACGGUAUCUAACCAGAAAGCCACGGCUAACUACGUGCCAGCAGCCGCGGUAAUACGUAGGUGGCAAGCGUUGUCCGGAUUUAUUGGGCGUAAAGCGAGCGCAGGCGGUUUCUUAAGUCUGAUGUGAAAGCCCCCGGCUCAACCGGGGAGGGUCAGUGGAAACUGGGAGACUUGAGUGCAGAAGAGGAGAGUGGAAUUCCAUGUGUAGCGGUAAAAUGCGUAGAUAUAUGGAGGAACACCAGUGGCGAAGGCGGCUCUCUGGUCUGUAACUGACGCUGAGGCUCGAAAGCGUGGGGAGCAAACAGG